This 507-nucleotide ribosomal RNA is filed under the name uncultured bacterium. RNAcentral describes it as "partial 16S ribosomal RNA". The record is from RNAcentral.
GGAGUUAGCCGGUGCUUCUUCUGCGAGUAACGUCACAGAUGUAAGGUAUUAACUUACACCCUUUCCUCCUCGCUGAAAGUGCUUUACAACCCGAAGGCCUUCUUCACACACGCGGCAUGGCUGCAUCAGGGUUUCCCCCAUUGUGCAAUAUUCCCCACUGCUGCCUCCCGUAGGAGUCUGGGCCGUGUCUCAGUCCCAGUGUGGCUGAUCAUCCUCUCAGACCAGCUAGGGAUCGUCGCCUAGGUGAGCCUUUACCUCACCUACUAGCUAAUCCCACCUGGGCUUAUCCAUCAGCGCAAGGCCCGAAGGUCCCCUGCUUUCCCCCGUAGGGCGUAUGCGGUAUUAGCAGUCGUUUCCAACUGUUAUCCCCCACAAUGGGCAAUUCCCAGGCAUUACUCACCCGUCCGCCGCUCGUCAUCUUCAAAGCAAGCUUUUGAAUGUUACCGCUCGACUUGCAUGUGUUAGGCCUGCCGCCAGCGUUCAAUCUGAGCCAUAAUCAAACUCUGA